GCUUGUCUCAAAGAUUAAGCCAUGCAUGUCUAAGUAUAAGCCUUUAUAUGGUGAGACUGCGAAUGGCUCAUUAAAUCAGAAACUGUUUAUUUGAUAGUGCCUACUACAUGGAUACCUGUAGUAAUUCUAGAGCUAAUACAUGCAAAAAGCCUGGACUUCUGGAACAGGCGUAUUUAUUAGAUAUACAAACCAACCGCUUCGGCGACCCUUGGUGACUCAUAAUAACUUCGCGAAUCGUUUUCGGACGAUGAUUCAUUCAAAUUUCUUCCCUAUCAACUUUCGAUGUUUGGGUAUUGGCCAAACAUGGUUGCAACGGGUAACGGAGGGUUAGGGCUCGACCCCGGAGAAGGAGCCUGAGAAACGGCUACUACAUCCAAGGAAGGCAGCAGG
This 390-nucleotide ribosomal RNA is filed under the name uncultured Telonemia. RNAcentral's name for it is "partial small subunit ribosomal RNA". It matches the Rfam family "Eukaryotic small subunit ribosomal RNA", at positions 30 to 432 of the family's 1831-position model. The record is from RNAcentral. Lineage: Eukaryota; Telonemia.